UAUACUGUGUACCAUUACCUUAAAAUAGUUACUCAGAGUAAAAAACAUAAACCUGAAUGAUUUUGACCAAAAAAAAAAAAACCCACAUAACACUAAUCUUUUUAAAAAAUUCUUUUUCUUUUCUUUUCUUUCUUUUUUUGGAGCCAAGGCCUCACAGUGUAGUUCAGGCUGGUCUUAAACUCAGUCUGUAAUCCCAUCUGGCCUUGAACUCAUGGUGAUUCUUCUGCUUCAGCCUUUUGAGUGCUACUAGGAUUACAAGUUUAUGCCACCAUGUCCAGCAGAAGGCCAUCUUUUUGAUAACUUUGGCUUCUCAGAUUUAACCUGACAUAAUAAAGAUUAAAAGAGCCAAAUGAAGGCUAGAGGUUUAGCUCAGUGGCACAAGCACCUGGCUGGCAAGUGUAAGGUCAUGAGUUUGAUGCCUGGUACCACCACCACCACCAACAACAACAACAACGACAAAAAAAAAAAACAACAAAAAACCCCAAAUGUGUCCAAGCAUGAUGGUGAAUGUUUGUAAUCCCGGCUCUUGGGAGGCUGAGGGAGGAGGAUCGCUGAGCGUUUAAGGCCAGCCUGGGUUACAUAGCAAGAGCCUGUCCCAAAAUAACAAAGCAAACAGAUGUGGACACAGCCUAUGAGGUUGGCUAUUCCGAAGGCUGAAGCAGGAGAUCACAAGUUUGAGCCCAGCCUGGGCAACUUAGUGAUUUAGUGAGACCCUGUCUUGCAAUAAAAAAAUGAAAAAAGGGCUAAGGAUAUAGCUGAACAUGAAGACCAUAGAUUCAAUCUCUAGUACUACAGACAAAAACAAAAUCCCAAGUAUGAAAAAAACAACAAAAACCAAAAAACCCAACCAGUUGCCAAAGCAAUUAAGUGAUAAUUCUUGACUAUAGGAAAAAAUGAAUCACUGGAUCUAACGUGUGAAAUUUUUUCUUUUCGUGUAUGUUUGAUAUCAGGUGGUUAGCAGCUUGGCAGAGAAAGCCACUAGGCAGCAUUACCCAAAGGGAAAAUGAAAGUUUACAACUAAAGGUCAGUCUGAAAGAUAAGACAGACCAUCCUGAACCAGCAGUAUGAAGCAUUGUGAAACUGUAUUUGAUAUUCAUAAGAUAAUGUGUCGAUGCUGGAAGAUCCUGAACUGAAGAAAACAAUCUCUGUCUUCAAUCUUCAUGGGGAGUAAUCUGUAAUGAGAGCUAUGCAUGGUAACAAGACUUAGAGUCAAGUUCAGUCCAGACAAAAGAUAAGCUAGAGUCCCUUGACUCUAGCUGGGAUCUCAUUAAAUGAAUAAUGAGAGAGGAGGAGGGAGUUCUAAGGAUUGUUUGAAUGUUUGGGGGCAAGAGAAGAAGUCUAAGAGCCUUGGUCAGUUGGAAGUAGCCCAUAACUUAAUGUUUACCUGGUGCUCAUUAACUAUUUAUUGGAUUAAAGUUAAUUUCAUUCUCGA
This is a long non-coding RNA of Cavia porcellus (domestic guinea pig), 1432 nucleotides long. RefSeq lists it as uncharacterized. The record is from RefSeq and is a predicted model, not a curated record. The transcript has 2 exons. NCBI's taxonomy places the organism in Eukaryota, Metazoa, Chordata, Mammalia, Rodentia, Caviidae.